AUACGUAGGGGGCAAGCGUUAUCCGGAUUUACUGGGUGUAAAUGGAGCGUAGACGGUAAAGCAAGUCUGAAGUGAAAGCUCGGGGCUCAACCCCGGAACUGCUUUGGAAACUGUUUUACUGGAGUGCAGGAGAGGUAAGCGGAAUUCCUAGUGUAGCGGUGAAAUGCGUAGAUAUUAGGAGGAACACCAGAGGCGAAGGCGGCUUACUGGACUGUAACUGACGUUGAGGCUCGAAGGCGUGGGGAGCAAACAGGAUUAGAUACCCUGGUAGUCCACGCGGUAAACGAUGAUCACUAGGUGUCGGCGGCCAUAGGCGGUCGGUGCCGCAGCAAACGCAAUAAGUGAUCCACCUGGGGAGUACGUUCGCAAGAAUGAAACUUAAAGGAAUUGACGGGG
Molecule: ribosomal RNA, 396 nt
Filed under: uncultured bacterium
Lineage: Bacteria
Description: partial 16S ribosomal RNA
Rfam family: Bacterial small subunit ribosomal RNA
Source: RNAcentral